Long non-coding RNA from Tupaia belangeri chinensis (Chinese tree shrew), 445 nucleotides. RefSeq lists it as uncharacterized. Lineage: Eukaryota; Metazoa; Chordata; Mammalia; Scandentia; Tupaiidae. The transcript has 3 exons. The record is from RefSeq and is a predicted model, not a curated record.
ACUCCAAGCAAACCCAAAAACCAGCAGUCAGCGCCAGAGCUUUCCUAUCAUCUGCCUGUUACAGUAAUAUGGAUUUCCCAUGACCUUUCUGAAGAUCCCUCACAUUGCACAUAAGGAACACAGGAGAAGAGGAGAAAGUGUGUGGGUGUGUGUGUUGCACAUACCGUGGUGGGUUCACAGCAGAGCUAAAUUCCUAUCUUCCACGGUGAGAAGCCAAUAGAUAGUGUCUACAUUUGAGGAAUCACGAAGUAGCAAUAUAAGCAUAUUACUGAAAGAUGUGAAGAUGUGUAUGCACAUUUCUUAACUUCGUGUAUUAAAAUGAAGUCUGUUUGCCUGGGUCCUGAGUGACUACAAUGAGCAGAGACCACCUGCCUACCAACGAGAGCAUUAAGGAAGAAAUAAAUGCCUGCCUGUUCAACCAUUGAGACUGGGGAGUUUUUGUUAC